RNAcentral lists this ribosomal RNA (253 nucleotides) under uncultured bacterium. RNAcentral's name for it is "partial 16S ribosomal RNA". It matches the Rfam family "Bacterial small subunit ribosomal RNA", at positions 524 to 776 of the family's 1533-position model. The record is from RNAcentral.
UACGUAGGGUGCGAGCGUUAAUCGGAAUUACUGGGCGUAAAGGGCGCGUAGGCGGCCUGCUAAGUCGAACGUGAAAUCCCCGGGCUCAACCCGGGAACUGCGUCCGAUACUGGUAGGCUUGAAUUCGGGAGAGGGAUGCGGAAUUCCAGGUGUAGCGGUGAAAUGCGUAGAUAUCUGGAGGAACACCGGUGGCGAAGGCGGCAUCCUGGACCGACAUUGACGCUGAGGCGCGAAAGCCAGGGGAGCAAACGGG